AGCCUGGUGUGACUGAGCUGCUGGGCACAGAUGACUGCGUGGAUCAGGGCCAGGAGCACGGGCCUGAGGUGGCAAAGGAGGCACAGGAUAAGCUGGGCCCCACCACCUGGGCAGAGGACCAGCCAGCUUCAGAUGUUGAAGACUGAUGCCGGGCACUGCAGCGUUUGCUGCAGAUCGAGUCCCCCGGGACGGAACCAGUAGCCAGGCAGCCAGCUGUGACUGGAUGCUUGGAGCCCUGCAUGAAAUAAAGGAUCAGGACAGCUGUCCAAAGGGAUUUCUUUUCAAGUUAAUAAAAGUAUUUUUACCUGC
Molecule: long non-coding RNA, 309 nt
Organism: Haemorhous mexicanus (house finch)
Lineage: Eukaryota; Metazoa; Chordata; Aves; Passeriformes; Fringillidae
Exons: 2
Source: RefSeq, a predicted model, not a curated record